Molecule: transfer RNA, 77 nt
Filed under: Deltaproteobacteria bacterium RBG_13_52_11
Lineage: Bacteria; Deltaproteobacteria
Also listed under: 3 other names
Description: tRNA-Pro
Rfam family: tRNA
About the family: Transfer RNA (tRNA) molecules are approximately 80 nucleotides in length. Their secondary structure includes four short double-helical elements and three loops (D, anti-codon, and T loops).
Source: RNAcentral
CGGGGCGUGGCGCAGACUGGUAGCGCACCUGCCUUGGGCGCAGGGGGUCGGAGGUUCAAAUCCUCUCGCCCCGACCA